RNAcentral lists this long non-coding RNA (946 nucleotides) under Vitis vinifera (wine grape). RNAcentral describes it as "long non-coding RNA (VVIN_LNC006986)". The record is from RNAcentral. Lineage: Eukaryota; Viridiplantae; Streptophyta; Magnoliopsida; Vitales; Vitaceae.
AAUCCCCCUUCAUUGAGUGUUACUAGGGCAUCUCCCUUCCUAAACUGUUAUUAAGGAAUCCCCCUUCCAUUAGUUUGUUUAGGGCAUCCCCGUUCCUUGAGUUUCUUAGGGCACCCCUUUCCCUUGAGUUACUUUAGGGCUUCACCUUCCUUAAGUUUCUUAGUCUCUUUUCAUGAAGAUUGUUUAAUUCAUUCUCCUUUUUGGAGUUUGUGUAAAGGAUCCCCCUUGCUUGAGUUUGUGGCACCCCCCUUCCAAGAGUUGAUUUAGUGCACUCCCACUUCCUUAAGAUUCAUAGUGCAUCUGCCUCUUGGAGUUUGUUAAGCCCCUCCCCUUUUUUGAGAUUUUUUUUUUUUGGCACAUCUCCCUUUGUUGAGUUUGUCUAGGGCAUUUCCCUUCUUAGAGUUUGUUUAAGGUGUCCGCUUUCCUCGAGUUUUAAUAGGGCAUCCCCCUUCCUUUAGUUUGUUUUAUGCAUCCAUGUUCCUUGAGUUUCCUUAGGCCAUCCCACUCCCUUGAGUUACAUUAGGGCGUCACCCUUGCUUUAGUUUCUUAGGUCAUUCUUUUUCAUGGAAAUUUUGUAAUUCAUUCCCUUUCCAAGAGUUUGUUUAGAGCAUCCCCCUUCCUUGAGUUUGUUAAUGACAUCCCCUUCCCAAAUUUUGUUAAGAGAAUCCCCCUUCUUUGAGUUUCAUUAGCGCAUCCCCCUUCAUUGAGUCUUGUUAGCACAUCACUUCUUUGAGUUUGUUUACAACAUUCUCCCUCCAUAUCUUUGUUUAAGGCAUCCCCCUUCCUUGAGUCUUAUUAAGACGUCCCACUAUCCCUUAGUUUCUUUAUAGAAUAUCUAUUCCUCGAGUUUGUUUAAUGUUUGUGCUCUCUUCCUUGAGAAUUUUUUUAGUGCAUCCCCCUUCCUAGAGUUUGUUUAGGGCAACCUAAUUCUUAGAGUUACUUAUGG